RNAcentral lists this ribosomal RNA (497 nucleotides) under uncultured bacterium. RNAcentral's name for it is "bacterial SSU rRNA". It matches the Rfam family "Bacterial small subunit ribosomal RNA", at positions 30 to 524 of the family's 1533-position model. The record is from RNAcentral.
AUUGAACGCUGGCGGCAUGCCUUACACAUGCAAGUCGAACGGCAGCACGGGGGCAACCCUGGUGGCGAGUGGCGAACGGGUGAGUAAUACAUCGGAAUGUACCCAGUAGUGGGGGGAUAACUAGUCGAAAGAUUAGCUAAUACCGCAUACGCACUAUGGUGGAAAGCGGGGGAUCGCAAGACCUCGCGCUAUUGGAGCAGCCGAUGUCCGAUUAGGUAGUUGGUGGGGUAAAGGCCUACCAAGCCUGCGAUCGGUAACUGGUCUGAGAGGACGACCAGUCACACUGGGACUGAGACACGGCCCAGACUCCUACGGGAGGCAGCAGUGGGGAAUUUUGGACAAUGGGGGAAACCCUGAUCCAGCAAUGCCGCGUGUGGGAAGGAGGCCUUCGGGUUGUAAACCGCUUUAGUCGGAGAAAGGCAACUCUUAAUACGGUUGUUCUUGACGGUACCGGCGGAAUAAGCACCGGCUAACUACGUGCCAGCAGCCGCGGUAAU